GGAGAGGGCGAGCGUUGUUCGGAUUUACUGGGCGUAAAGGGCAUGUAGGUGUCCCGACAAGCUCUGGGGUGAAAUCUCCGCGCUCAACGCGGAAACGAAUCAGAGAACUAUCGGGAUUGAGUUCAGAAGAAGAGAGUGGAAUUCUCGGUGUAGCGGUGAAAUGCGUAGAUAUCGAGAAGAACACCAGCGGCGAAGGCGGCUCUCUAUUCUGAAACUGACACUCAAAUGCGAAAGCGUGGGGAGCGAAUGGGAUUAGAUACCCCAGUAGUCCACGCUGUAAACGAUGUGCACUUGGUGUAUUCCUUUUUAAGGGGUGUGCCGGAGCUAACGCGUUAAGUGCACCGCCUGGGGAGUACGGCCGCAAGGCUA
RNAcentral lists this ribosomal RNA (369 nucleotides) under uncultured organism. Its description in RNAcentral is "partial 16S ribosomal RNA". It matches the Rfam family "Bacterial small subunit ribosomal RNA", at positions 527 to 896 of the family's 1533-position model. The record is from RNAcentral.